This 505-nucleotide ribosomal RNA is filed under the name uncultured bacterium. RNAcentral's name for it is "partial 16S ribosomal RNA". It matches the Rfam family "Bacterial small subunit ribosomal RNA", at positions 29 to 523 of the family's 1533-position model. The record is from RNAcentral.
AACGAACGCUGGCGGCGUGCUUAACACAUGCAAGUCGAACGCGAACGGGUUCUUCGGGACCUUAGUAGAGUGGCGCACGGGUGAGUAACGCGUAAGUUAUCUACCUCGGCAUCUGGAAUAACUCACCGAAAGGUGUGCUAAUACCGGAUACGUUGAGUAAUCAAGAAAGGUGGCCUCUGAGUAUGCUACCGUGCUGAGAUGAGCUUGCGUACCAUUAGCUAGUUGGUGGGGUAAUGGCCUACCAAGGCGACGAUGGUUAGCGGGUCUGAGAGGAUGAUCCGCCACACUGGAACUGGAACACGGACCAGACUCCUACGGGAGGCAGCAGUGAGGAAUAUUGCGCAAUGGGGGCAACCCUGACGCAGCGACGCCGCGUGGAUGAUGAAGGCCUUCGGGUCGUAAAAUCCUGUCAGGUGGAAAGAAAUGUAUAUGUGCUAAUACCAUGUAUACUUGACGGUACCACCGAAGGAAGCACCGGCUAACUCCGUGCCAGCCGCCGCCGUAA